GAGCAAAGUAAGUGAAACUUUCCAUCUGCCUUUUAAGCAGAGGGUCGGUGGUUCGAUACCACCCGGUCUCA
This 71-nucleotide transfer RNA is filed under the name Bacteroidota bacterium. RNAcentral's name for it is "tRNA-Lys". Lineage: Bacteria; Pseudomonadati; Bacteroidota. The record is from RNAcentral.